AUGGCCGCGGUGGGUGGGGGAGGAGCUCUAGGGAAGCAUGGCCCUUUAGGUAGGCUCGUCGGCAAUGGCACCACAUCGGAAUGCCCGCAUUUCAAGCUUAACACUAUCACAUUCGAGCACUUGACGCGCGCAAGCCGGUCCGCAGGGGCGACCGCUUCGUGGUGCACGGCAACAUGCACGCCGUGGAGUUCAAGGUCGUCGACACGGACGCCGACGUGUCCGUCAUCAUGGCGGCCGGUGUGCCACGACGCCAACCCGUUCAAGCGGGAGGACGGGGAGAGGCUCAACGGCCCGGGCUUCGACGUCGGCAGCGUCCGGAAGCAGCUUGCGCAGAUCCGCGAGCUGGUCAAGCCGCCGCUGCGCCACCCCAAGCUGUUCAGGACGCUCGGCGUCAAGCCCCCCAAGGGGAUCCUGCUGUUCGGCCCGGCCGGCACCGGCAAGGCGCUGCUCUCGCCUCCUAGUCGGGCGCCAACUUCAUUGUCGUCAUCGGGGCCGGAGAUCGCCGAGGCCAAGGCGCCAUCGCGUCCAACCGCGAGAAGACGCACGGCGAGGUGGAGCGUCGCGCCGUGUCCCAGCUGGUCAAGCUCAUGGACGGGCUCCGCUCGCGCGCGCAGGUCAUGGCCAUCGGCGCCACCAACCGCCGCAAUUCGACAAGGAGAUCCACAUCGGCGUGCCCGACGCCCCGACGAGGUCGGCCGCCUCGAGAUCCUCCGCAUCCACUCCAAGGACAUGCCGCUCUCAGACGACGUCGACCUCGAGCGCAUUGGCAAGGACACGCACGGGCACGGCUUCGUCGGCGCCUACCUCGCCGCGCUCUGCUGCGAGGCAGCAUUCCAGCGCAUCCGCAAGAUGGACGUCAUCGACCUCGAAGCGGACACCACCAUCGACGUGGAGGUGCAUGUCCGUCAUCAUGGACGACCUCGUGCACGCCAAGGAGGUGACCAAGCCAUCGGCUGGUGGAGGUCCCCAAGGUCUCGUGGGAGGAUGUCAAGCUGGAGCUCCAGCAGUACGCGGUGGAGCACCCGGAGAUGUUGGAGUUUUUGGGUAUGGAGCCGGGUGCUCUUCCACGGCCCGCCGGGCUACGAGGUCGCGGCUGCAGAUCUUCAAGUCGUGCUCGUCAGGAAGGCCGCGGCCAUGGCCAGCGCCGAGAUCACCCGGAAGCACUUCCUGGUGGCCAAGCAGGGGCGGGAGCUUUGA
RNAcentral lists this ribosomal RNA (1197 nucleotides) under Triticum aestivum (bread wheat). RNAcentral's name for it is "partial small subunit ribosomal RNA". Lineage: Eukaryota; Viridiplantae; Streptophyta; Magnoliopsida; Poales; Poaceae. The record is from RNAcentral.